RNAcentral lists this RNase P RNA (383 nucleotides) under Synechococcales cyanobacterium CRU_2_2. RNAcentral describes it as "RNase P RNA component class A". It matches the Rfam family "Bacterial RNase P class A". From Rfam's summary of the family: Ribonuclease P (RNase P) is a ubiquitous endoribonuclease, found in archaea, bacteria and eukarya as well as chloroplasts and mitochondria. Its best characterised activity is the generation of mature 5'-ends of tRNAs by cleaving the 5'-leader elements of precursor-tRNAs. Lineage: Bacteria; Bacillati; Cyanobacteriota; Cyanophyceae; Synechococcales. The record is from RNAcentral.
AAAGUUGGCGAGGCAGUUACGGAGGGUGUCAACACCCUUUGAGGAAAGUCCGGGCUCCCGAAAGAUCACGCUUGCUGGGUAACGCCCAGUGCGGGUAACCGCGAGGAGAGUGCCACAGAAAAAUACCGCCGGUUCAAGGCCUAGUGCCCUAUAGCCGGUAAGGGUGCAAAGGUGCGGUAAGAGCGCACCAGCAGCAUCGAGAGGUGCUGGCUCGGUAAACCCCGGUGGGGAGCAAGGUCGCAGGGGCAAGGGUUGAUCUUUUUCCCGUCCCGUUUUUGGAGUACCGCUUGAGGGAGCGGGUAACCGCUGUCCCAGAUAGAUAACCGCCCUUCAGUUUCUUCGGAAGCUGGAGAACAGAACCCGGCUUAUGUCCAACUUUUCCA